Molecule: ribosomal RNA, 174 nt
Filed under: uncultured bacterium
Lineage: Bacteria
Description: partial 16S ribosomal RNA
Rfam family: Bacterial small subunit ribosomal RNA
Source: RNAcentral
CCUACGGGAGGCAGCAGUGGGGAAUAUUGCACAAUGGGCGCAAGCCUGAUGCAGCAACGCCGCGUGAGGGACGACGGCCUUCGGGUUGUAAACCUCUUUUAGUAGGGAAGAAGCGAAAGUGACGGUACCUGCAGAAAAAGCACCGGCUAACUACGUGCCAGCAGCCGCGGUAAU